This 778-nucleotide ribosomal RNA is filed under the name uncultured archaeon. Its description in RNAcentral is "bacterial SSU rRNA". It matches the Rfam family "Archaeal small subunit ribosomal RNA", at positions 111 to 879 of the family's 1478-position model. The record is from RNAcentral.
CCCCUUUGGGCGAGACCCCCGGGAACUGGGGAUAAUACCCGAUAGGUGUGGAGGCCUGGAAUGGUUCCACGCUCAAAUGCACGGCGACCAUGUUUGUCGCGUGCCCAAGGAUGGGGCUGCGGCCGAUCAGGCAGUUGGCGAGGUAACGGCUCACCAAACCUGUGACCGGUACGGGCCAUGAGAGUGGUAGCCCGGAGAUGGACACUGAGACAGGGGUCCAGGCCCUACGGGGCGCAGCAGGCGCGAAAACUCCACAAUGUACUCAAGUACGAUGGGGUUAUCUCGAGUGCAGUCCGAUUAGGGCUACUUUUCCAUAGAGUAAUAUCCUGUGGGAAUAAGAGGGGGGCAAGACUGGUGUCAGCCGCCGCGGUAACACCAGCCCCUCGAGUGGUGGGGAUGUUUAUUUGGCCUAAAGCGUCCGUAGCCGGCUGUAGCCGUCACCCGUUAAAUCCAGCGUCUCAAGCGUUGGGCUGCGGGUGAUACCCUACAGCUAGAGGGUGGGAGAGGUAAGCGGUAUUCCUGGGGUAGGGGCGAAAUCCUUUGAUCCCAGGAGGACCACCAGUGGCGUAGGCUGCUUACUAGAACACGCCUGACGGUCAGGGACGAAAGCUGGGGUAGCGAACCGGAUUAGAUACCCGGGUAGUCCCAGCUGUAAACGAUGCUCGCUAGGUGUUGGGUCGGCCACGCGCCGCCCCAGUGCCGCAGGGAAGCCGUUAAGCGAGCCGCCUGGGGAGUACGGCCGCAAGGCUGAAACUUAAAGGAAUUGGCGGGGGAGCAC